CGAUUUAAAGGGUUUGACCACAUAUCAUCCUCUGGCGGUGAUGGGUCAGUUUGAUUAGUAUCAGGACGUUCAGGCAUUCGAGGGGGCUGAGGAUUACCGAUUUCCCAUUUUCUCAACAACCAAUGCAGAUUUGGCUUGAGUCUACGGGUUUCGAUCCCAUCGGCAUACUGCAGAGUUUAGAGAUGGCCAUCCGGGUCGAACAAUAGAGUAUUUAGCCUGGUUGGAGACUGACUUAGCUCCCGAUGUGGUUCAUCAGACCGAUGCAGCGACUGAGGAUGAGCUGUUUGCAGGUUUGACAGUGACUUUGGUUAGCACUGUUCCGAGCUCUAUAUCGGUUUCUAGGGAUGCCUAGGAUCGCCAGGUUCAUCUUUUAACCUUUGAGCGGGAUUGGGAUCGGACUCAUGCGCUGAUGUUGCCUGCUUUGGCUGGUGGGGAUGCGGCUAGCGCUGAGAGAGAUGUCUCCAUUAUUGCUCGAGAUGAGGCUUUAGCUGAGAGAGAUGUCGUUCGGUCCUUUGCUGAUGGGAUCACCGAUCGUGCUCAUAAUGUUGUUUAGAGUCAAGAUGGGAUCUUCAGGUCAGCUUUAGAGUUGUUAAGGCGUGUUGAUGUGCUAGAGCAGGAGCUUAGGGCUGCUCCCCAAAUUGCAGAGAUGGCUGAGUAUUUGGAGAUGUUGUCCCGCUUGACCUCAGACUUGUAGUCCUGCUUUAUUUUCCUGUACAAACUAUGUUAU
Molecule: long non-coding RNA, 727 nt
Filed under: Panax ginseng (ginseng)
Lineage: Eukaryota; Viridiplantae; Streptophyta; Magnoliopsida; Apiales; Araliaceae
Description: long non-coding RNA (PGIN_LNC013573)
Source: RNAcentral